UCGAACGGCAGCACAGUAAGAGCUUGCUCUUAUGGGUGGCGAGUGGCGGACGGGUGAGGAAUACAUCGGAAUCUACUUUUUCGUGGGGGAUAACGUAGGGAAACUUACGCUAAUACCGCAUACGACCUACGGGUGAAAGCAGGGGACCUUCGGGCCUUGCGCGAUUGAAUGAGCCGAUGUCGGAUUAGCUAGUUGGCGGGGUAAAGGCCCACCAAGGCGACGAUCCGUAGCUGGUCUGAGAGGAUGAUCAGCCACACUGGAACUGAGACACGGCCCAGACUCCUACGGGAGGCAGCAGUGGGGAAUAUUGGACAAUGGGCGCAAGCCUGAUCCAGCCAUACCGCGUGGGUGAAGAAGGCCUUCGGGUUGUAAAGCCCUUUUGUUGGGAAAGAAAUCCAGCCGGCUAAUACCUGGUUGGGAUGACGGUACCCAAAGAAUAAGCACCGGCUAACUUCGUGCCAGCAGCCGCGGUAAUACGAAGGGUGCAAGCGUUACUCGGAAUUACUGGGCGUAAAGCGUGCGUAGGUGGUUGUUUAAGUCUGUUGUGAAAGCCCUGGGCUCAACCUGGGAACUGCAGUGGAAACUGGACAACUAGAGUGUGGUAGAGGGUAGCGGAAUUCCCGGUGUAGCAGUGAAAUGCGUAGAGAUCGGGAGGAACAUCCAUGGCGAAGGCAGCUACCUGGACCAACACUGACACUGA
RNAcentral lists this ribosomal RNA (700 nucleotides) under Stenotrophomonas sp. LMR301. RNAcentral's name for it is "bacterial SSU rRNA". It matches the Rfam family "Bacterial small subunit ribosomal RNA", at positions 62 to 749 of the family's 1533-position model. The record is from RNAcentral. Lineage: Bacteria; Pseudomonadati; Pseudomonadota; Gammaproteobacteria; Lysobacterales; Lysobacteraceae.